This is a non-coding RNA of Pimephales promelas (fathead minnow), 1115 nucleotides long. Lineage: Eukaryota; Metazoa; Chordata; Actinopteri; Cypriniformes; Leuciscidae. The record is from RefSeq and is a predicted model, not a curated record.
UGACCCCGCCUGUGGAACCCCGGCUAAAGUCGCAGAAUCUAAUUAUGAAUAAAAGAGCGUCAAAGUAGUCAUAGCCAUAAAAAUGACAAAAAUAGGUAAUGUGUGUUUAUUGCUGUAAAUGAUAGAUUAUUGCAAGGGUUUUGAGAUUCAAUUCUCAAAUUUUAAUUUAUAACAUGAUAAAUACUAAAAUUAAUGAUUUUAUUGACACUACGUUAUACUUUUGCGCAGCAAAAAAAAAAAAACCGGACGCGGGCUUUAACAUUGAUUUCAAUCGUAUCCGGGUUUAUUUUUCAGCGCAACAACACUUGCUGAUUCCUAUCAUUCAGUUCAGGAACUUCUUUUUGACUUAUUUUCUAUUAGAAAGAGUAAACAGACCUUAAAAUCAAUCCGCACGAGUGGCAAUCAGGUCAACACAAUGGGAAAAAAGCGACUUCAUUCAGCCGGCCGGUUCAGAUCUCAGGAGGUGUUUCCGUGUCAUCGCCAAACAUUUAAUUUAAGAACAGCUUAUGUGUUUUGUAGCUCUGUAUUGUGCCAAUAAUAUUAUUAUAUUAUAUUAUAUUUGUGUCUUAUAAGUGUCAAUAAUAUAAUUCGUUAGCUGGAUUAACUGUUAACUGCGUCGUUUUGACAUCUGACAUGGCAGCACCGAAGCAUGUGCAAGAACGUAAAAUGUCUGAUUGCUUAAAUAUUAAUCUCGGUGGAAUUGCCCAAAUUAUGAUUUAAGCGGUUUUAUAGCGGAUUAUUUUCUGGAGGAUAAUGGUGAUGAUAAACAGGACACAUUCUUUGACGAAACUGAAGAGGAAUUUGACGGCAGUGACCAACAUGAUGAUGAGGACGAGCCAGUUUUGGUGAUUGAACCUCAACCUAUUAUAGACUGGCGAAUCUGAAGAGGGAACACCAACAAGAAGAAUUUGCUUCUAAUGUUGGAAUUCCAGAUGUAAAACUGAAAAUAAGUUUCUCUUGCAACUGCAAGUAUUUCAAUGCUGAAAAGUGUUCUUCAUUUUUCAAGGAGGGAGAGUUGCUGUCACUCAGGAUGAGUCAUUUGGAGAUGGACAAUACUGUACUAGACAUGGUAGUUUUAGUACAAAUACAAAGUCACUUGCACUCUGGGGAAGAAA